GCCGAAGUGGCGAAAUUGGUAUACGCACCAGACUCAAAAUCUGGCGAGAGCAAUCUCAUGACGGUUCGACUCCGUCCUUCGGCA
Molecule: transfer RNA, 84 nt
Filed under: Acidobacteriota bacterium
Lineage: Bacteria; Pseudomonadati; Acidobacteriota
Also listed under: 2 other names
Description: Acidobacteria bacterium (soil metagenome) tRNA-Leu
Rfam family: tRNA
About the family: Transfer RNA (tRNA) molecules are approximately 80 nucleotides in length.
Source: RNAcentral